Molecule: ribosomal RNA, 588 nt
Filed under: uncultured bacterium
Lineage: Bacteria
Description: bacterial SSU rRNA
Rfam family: Bacterial small subunit ribosomal RNA
Source: RNAcentral
ACUCCUACGGGAGGCAGCAGUGGGGAAUUUUGGACAAUGGGCGCAAGCCUGAUCCAGCAAUGCCGCGUGCAGGAUGAAGGCCUUCGGGUUGUAAACUGCCUUUGUACGGAACGAAAAGCCCUGGGUUAAUACCCUGGGGUCAUGACGGUACCGUAAGAAUAAGCACCGGCUAACUACGUGCCAGCAGCCGCGGUAAUACGUAGGGUGCAAGCGUUAAUCGGAAUUACUGGGCGUAAAGCGUGCGCAGGCGGUUUUGUAAGACAGAGGUGAAAUCCCCGGGCUCAACCUGGGAACUGCCUUUGUGACUGCAAGGCUAGAGUACGGCAGAGGGGGAUGGAAUUCCGCGUGUAGCAGUGAAAUGCGUAGAUAUGCGGAGGAACACCGAUGGCGAAGGCAAUCCCCUGGGCCUGUACUGACGCUCAUGCACGAAAGCGUGGGGAGCAAACAGGAUUAGAUACCCUGGUAGUCCACGCCCUAAACGAUGUCAACUGGUUGUUGGGUCUUAACUGACUCAGUAACGAAGCUAACGCGUGAAGUUGACCGCCUGGGGAGUACGGCCGCAAGGUUGAAACUUAAAGGAAUUGACGG